GGGGAUAUAGCUCAGUGGUAGAGCAUGUGCUUAGCGGGCACAAGGUCCUGGGUUCAAUCUCCAGUACCUCCG
Molecule: transfer RNA, 72 nt
Filed under: Camelus bactrianus (Bactrian camel)
Lineage: Eukaryota; Metazoa; Chordata; Mammalia; Artiodactyla; Camelidae
Also listed under: 1 other name
Rfam family: tRNA
About the family: Transfer RNA (tRNA) molecules are approximately 80 nucleotides in length.
Source: Rfam by way of RNAcentral